This 428-nucleotide ribosomal RNA is filed under the name uncultured bacterium. RNAcentral's name for it is "partial 16S ribosomal RNA". It matches the Rfam family "Bacterial small subunit ribosomal RNA", at positions 354 to 796 of the family's 1533-position model. The record is from RNAcentral.
GUGGGGAAUAUUGGGCAAUGGGCGCAAGCCUGACCCAGCAACGCCGCGUGAGGGAAGAAGGUCUUCGGAUUGUAAACCUCUGUCCUUGGGGACGAAAAAAAUGACGGUACCCAAGGAGGAAGCUCCGGCUAACUACGUGCCAGCAGCCGCGGUAAUACGUAGGGAGCGAGCGUUGUCCGGAAUUACUGGGCGUAAAGGGUGCGUAGGCGGCAUGGCAAGUCAGAUGUGAAAUCCCCGGGCUUAACUCGGGGGGUGCAUUUGAAACUGCUGUGCUUGAGUGCAGGAGAGGAAAGCGGAAUUCCUAGUGUAGCGGUGAAAUGCGUAGAUAUUAGGAGGAACACCAGUGGCGAAGGCGGCUUUCUGGACUGUAACUGACGCUGAGGCACGAAAGCGUGGGGAGCAAACAGGAUUAGAUACCCCUGUAGUCC